Molecule: non-coding RNA, 1278 nt
Organism: Arachis ipaensis
Lineage: Eukaryota; Viridiplantae; Streptophyta; Magnoliopsida; Fabales; Fabaceae
Source: RefSeq, a predicted model, not a curated record
GGUAGAUUUUCAUUUAAUAAAAAUAGUUUUUGGAUCCACGCUGGACCUCAAACAAUGACAAAAUAGGGGAUUUGCACAAGCAAAAAGACAUAAAACAACUCAUGGAAAGAGAAAAAAGUAAUGUUUGGGUGUCUUCUUCCUAGCAUUAGCAUCAUUACUCUGUUCUUCAAACUGUCCAACAAUUUUGAAAUUCUGAAGUAUUCUUUCUUACUAAUUCAACAACGCGUUGGCCAUCGAAGUUAUUACCCUCGAAGAUGAACUUAUUUUGGGCUUCCAAAUUUUCAGUUCAAAACUCAGGGGCUUCAAUUCCAGAGUUCAGCCAUACACCUCGGGAUUGCAUGCAACUAAUCAAGCAAUGUUGGAUACAUUUAUCAACUUGGUUACAUCUUUGGCAGAUUGGAAAAAUCGUAGAUAUUCGUUCAUGAAUUCUUUGACCCACUAGUAAUCUUUUAUGCAUUACUUUUCACAAGAAAAUUCUGAGUUUGGGUUGUACUUUCAAGUCCCAAACUGAUCUCCAAAGCCUCUUUCGCCAGCACUGUGUAGGUAUCAAAUCAAGGGGAGGGUGAUAGAACUGGUGAGCUAAGUCAUAUCCUAAAGCCACUAAGUGAUUUCCACUUCUUCCAUGGUUCGAGAUGCAAGACAUGAGAUACCACAUUGAGCAUGCUGGAGACUCUUGGGACGCAAAGAUAUACGUUUUGGAUGUUUUGUAUUUAGAGUCUUGUAUAUGUAUAUAAGUAGUAUUCUCCAUUUUGUACAUAACUUGUAUUUUGUCCCUCCUAGAGAUUGACUUAGAGAGACGUGAUUUUAUUUUGUCUUUUGGAAAUAUUUUGGGUUAUAUGUAUAUAUAAUUAUACUUUGGUCGGCCUUUGCUUCGCAGGUCAUGUUAAGAGCUUGCUACUUGUAUCUUUUUGGAACUCUAUGUAUAUAUGUACAUUUCCUUUAUUAUACGUUGUUAUCUGUUUCCUUCUACGUUUAACCGUUUCGAGUGUGACACAAUUUUCGAGUUCUGUUUGCUUAACUUUUCUUUAAGGCUCCUAGUUAAAGCUUCUUUUCAUAUAUGCCUAUGUACGCAUUUUACUUUUAGAGGUUGUAAUACUUCACCACCUCUGAUUUACGAACUUAAGCGUAAAGCUUUGAGUGGUAGGGCGUUACACAGGACAAUUAAAUCCAGCUAAGGGAUUUGUCUUCUCAAUUGGAGAUAUGUUCAAUUUCCAUUUUCCCUCUUUGAUACAUGUAAUUAAUUGGUUCUUAAUUUCAUUUUCCUUCUUAUUUGUGCUC